This 347-nucleotide ribosomal RNA is filed under the name Triticum dicoccoides. RNAcentral describes it as "rRNA LSU_rRNA_eukarya". It matches the Rfam family "Eukaryotic large subunit ribosomal RNA", at positions 3005 to 3399 of the family's 3401-position model. The record is from RNAcentral. Lineage: Eukaryota; Viridiplantae; Streptophyta; Magnoliopsida; Poales; Poaceae.
ACAGUGUCGCGAUAGUAAUUCAACCUAGUACGAGAGGAACCGUUGAUUCACACAAUUGGUCAUCGCUCUUGGUUGAAAAGCCAACGGUGCGAAGCUACCGUGUGCCGGAUUAUGACUGAAUGUCAAGUCAGAAUCCAAGCUAGCAUGCGACACCCGCGCCCGCCACCCGCCCCGACCCACGUUAGGGGAACUUGCGCCCCCAAGGGCCCGUUCCAUUGGCUCCCUUCCCAACGGGUGGUGGGAUGAAUCCAUUGCAGACGACUUAAAGACGUGACGCGGCAUUGUAAGUGGCAGAGUGGCCUUGCUUCCACGAUCCACCAAGAUCCAGCCCCAUGUCGCAUGGAUUC